UAUUGGGCAAUGGGCGAAAGCCUUACCCAGCAACGCCGCGUGAGGGAAGAAGGUCNUCNNAUCGUNANCCUCUGUCUUUGGGGNNNNNGAAAGUGACGGUACCCAAGGAGGAAGCUCCGGCUAACUACGUGCCAGCAGCCGCGGUAAUACGUAGGGAGCGAGCGUUGGCCGGAAUGACUGGGCGUAAAGGGCGCGUAGGCGGGCUAUUAAGUCUGGAGUGAAAGCCCCGCUUUAAAGGUGGGAAUUGCUUUGGAAACUGAUAGGGUCGAGUGCGGGAGAGGAAAGUGGAAUUCCCAGUGUAGCGGUGAAAUGCGUAGAGAUUGGGAGGAACACCAGUGGCGAAGGCGACUUUCUGGACCGUAACUGACGCUGAGGCGCGAAAGCGUGGGGAGCAAACA
Molecule: ribosomal RNA, 398 nt
Filed under: uncultured bacterium
Lineage: Bacteria
Description: partial 16S ribosomal RNA
Rfam family: Bacterial small subunit ribosomal RNA
Source: RNAcentral